AGUUAAAAUGCUUUGUAAUUGGAAUGAUAGAAAUUUAAACCCUUUUUAAAGUAUCAAUUGGAGGGCAAGUCUGGUGCCAGCAGCCACGGUAAUUCCAGCUCCAAUAGCGUAUAUUAAAAUUGUUGCAGUUAAAAAGCUCGUAGUUGAAGUUCUGCUGAAAGUAACCGGUCUGCUUUUAAUAAAAGUGGUAUCUUGGUAUGUAUUUAGCAAUGAUGUCCUUUGAAGUGUUUUUUACUUUAUUGUAAUAAAGCAUAUUCAGGACUUUUACUUUGAGAAAAUUAGAGUGUUUCUAGCAGGCUGACGCUUUGAAUACUGCAGCAUGGAAUAAUAAGAUAGGAUUUUAGUUCUACAUUAUUGGUUUUAAGAGCUAAAUUAAUGAUUGAUAGGGACAGUUGGGGGCAUUUGUAUUUA
RNAcentral lists this ribosomal RNA (411 nucleotides) under Hepatozoon canis. Its description in RNAcentral is "bacterial SSU rRNA". It matches the Rfam family "Eukaryotic small subunit ribosomal RNA", at positions 491 to 900 of the family's 1831-position model. The record is from RNAcentral. Lineage: Eukaryota; Apicomplexa; Hepatozoidae.